RNAcentral lists this ribosomal RNA (2925 nucleotides) under Escherichia coli. Its description in RNAcentral is "bacterial LSU rRNA". It matches the Rfam family "Bacterial large subunit ribosomal RNA". Lineage: Bacteria; Pseudomonadati; Pseudomonadota; Gammaproteobacteria; Enterobacterales; Enterobacteriaceae. The record is from RNAcentral.
GGGUUGUGAGGUUAAGCGACUAAGCGUACACGGUGGAUGCCCUGGCAGUCAGAGGCGAUGAAGGACGUGCUAAUCUGCGAUAAGCGUCGGUAAGGUGAUAUGAACCGUUAUAACCGGCGAUUUCCGAAUGGGGAAACCCAGUGUGUUUCGACACACUAUCAUUAACUGAAUCCAUAGGUUAAUGAGGCGAACCGGGGGAACUGAAACAUCUAAGUACCCCGAGGAAAAGAAAUCAACCGAGAUUCCCCCAGUAGCGGCGAGCGAACGGGGAGCAGCCCAGAGCCUGAAUCAGUGUGUGUGUUAGUGGAAGCGUCUGGAAAGGCGCGCGAUACAGGGUGACAGCCCCGUACACAAAAAUGCACAUGCUGUGAGCUCGAUGAGUAGGGCGGGACACGUGGUAUCCUGUCUGAAUAUGGGGGGACCAUCCUCCAAGGCUAAAUACUCCUGACUGACCGAUAGUGAACCAGUACCGUGAGGGAAAGGCGAAAAGAACCCCGGCGAGGGGAGUGAAAAAGAACCUGAAACCGUGUACGUACAAGCAGUGGGAGCCUCUUUUAUGGGGUGACUGCGUACCUUUUGUAUAAUGGGUCAGCGACUUAUAUUCUGUAGCAAGGUUAACCGAAUAGGGGAGCCGAAGGGAAACCGAGUCUUAACUGGGCGUUAAGUUGCAGGGUAUAGACCCGAAACCCGGUGAUCUAGCCAUGGGCAGGUUGAAGGUUGGGUAACACUAACUGGAGGACCGAACCGACUAAUGUUGAAAAAUUAGCGGAUGACUUGUGGCUGGGGGUGAAAGGCCAAUCAAACCGGGAGAUAGCUGGUUCUCCCCGAAAGCUAUUUAGGUAGCGCCUCGUGAAUUCAUCUCCGGGGGUAGAGCACUGUUUCGGCAAGGGGGUCAUCCCGACUUACCAACCCGAUGCAAACUGCGAAUACCGGAGAAUGUUAUCACGGGAGACACACGGCGGGUGCUAACGUCCGUCGUGAAGAGGGAAACAACCCAGACCGCCAGCUAAGGUCCCAAAGUCAUGGUUAAGUGGGAAACGAUGUGGGAAGGCCCAGACAGCCAGGAUGUUGGCUUAGAAGCAGCCAUCAUUUAAAGAAAGCGUAAUAGCUCACUGGUCGAGUCGGCCUGCGCGGAAGAUGUAACGGGGCUAAACCAUGCACCGAAGCUGCGGCAGCGACGCUUAUGCGUUGUUGGGUAGGGGAGCGUUCUGUAAGCCUGUGAAGGUGUGCUGUGAGGCAUGCUGGAGGUAUCAGAAGUGCGAAUGCUGACAUAAGUAACGAUAAAGCGGGUGAAAAGCCCGCUCGCCGGAAGACCAAGGGUUCCUGUCCAACGUUAAUCGGGGCAGGGUGAGUCGACCCCUAAGGCGAGGCCGAAAGGCGUAGUCGAUGGGAAACAGGUUAAUAUUCCUGUACUUGGUGUUACUGCGAAGGGGGGACGGAGAAGGCUAUGUUGGCCGGGCGACGGUUGUCCCGGUUUAAGCGUGUAGGCUGGUUUUCCAGGCAAAUCCGGAAAAUCAAGGCUGAGGCGUGAUGACGAGGCACUACGGUGCUGAAGCAACAAAUGCCCUGCUUCCAGGAAAAGCCUCUAAGCAUCAGGUAACAUCAAAUCGUACCCCAAACCGACACAGGUGGUCAGGUAGAGAAUACCAAGGCGCUUGAGAGAACUCGGGUGAAGGAACUAGGCAAAAUGGUGCCGUAACUUCGGGAGAAGGCACGCUGAUAUGUAGGUGAAGCGACUUGCUCGUGGAGCUGAAAUCAGUCGAAGAUACCAGCUGGCUGCAACUGUUUAUUAAAAACACAGCACUGUGCAAACACGAAAGUGGACGUAUACGGUGUGACGCCUGCCCGGUGCCGGAAGGUUAAUUGAUGGGGUCAGCGCAAGCGAAGCUCUUGAUCGAAGCCCCGGUAAACGGCGGCCGUAACUAUAACGGUCCUAAGGUAGCGAAAUUCCUUGUCGGGUAAGUUCCGACCUGCACGAAUGGCGUAAUGAUGGCCAGGCUGUCUCCACCCGAGACUCAGUGAAAUUGAACUCGCUGUGAAGAUGCAGUGUACCCGCGGCAAGACGGAAAGACCCCGUGAACCUUUACUAUAGCUUGACACUGAACAUUGAGCCUUGAUGUGUAGGAUAGGUGGGAGGCUUUGAAGUGUGGACGCCAGUCUGCAUGGAGCCGACCUUGAAAUACCACCCUUUAAUGUUUGAUGUUCUAACGUUGACCCGUAAUCCGGGUUGCGGACAGUGUCUGGUGGGUAGUUUGACUGGGGCGGUCUCCUCCUAAAGAGUAACGGAGGAGCACGAAGGUUGGCUAAUCCUGGUCGGACAUCAGGAGGUUAGUGCAAUGGCAUAAGCCAGCUUGACUGCGAGCGUGACGGCGCGAGCAGGUGCGAAAGCAGGUCAUAGUGAUCCGGUGGUUCUGAAUGGAAGGGCCAUCGCUCAACGGAUAAAAGGUACUCCGGGGAUAACAGGCUGAUACCGCCCAAGAGUUCAUAUCGACGGCGGUGUUUGGCACCUCGAUGUCGGCUCAUCACAUCCUGGGGCUGAAGUAGGUCCCAAGGGUAUGGCUGUUCGCCAUUUAAAGUGGUACGCGAGCUGGGUUUAGAACGUCGUGAGACAGUUCGGUCCCUAUCUGCCGUGGGCGCUGGAGAACUGAGGGGGGCUGCUCCUAGUACGAGAGGACCGGAGUGGACGCAUCACUGGUGUUCGGGUUGUCAUGCCAAUGGCACUGCCCGGUAGCUAAAUGCGGAAGAGAUAAGUGCUGAAAGCAUCUAAGCACGAAACUUGCCCCGAGAUGAGUUCUCCCUGACUCCUUGAGAGUCCUGAAGGAACGUUGAAGACGACGACGUUGAUAGGCCGGGUGUGUAAGCGCAGCGAUGCGUUGAGCUAACCGGUACUAAUGAACCGUGAGGCUUAACCUUACAACGCCGAAG